This 468-nucleotide ribosomal RNA is filed under the name uncultured bacterium. RNAcentral describes it as "partial 16S ribosomal RNA". It matches the Rfam family "Bacterial small subunit ribosomal RNA", at positions 28 to 507 of the family's 1533-position model. The record is from RNAcentral.
GACGAACGCUGGCGGCGUGCUUAACACAUGCAAGUCGAACGGCAACGCCCUGCUUUUUUGCUGUUCCCGAGUGGCGAACGGGUGAGUAACACGUGAGUAACCUGCCCUUGACUUUGGGAUAACUUCAGGAAACUGGGGCUAAUACCGUAUAGCAGCUCCUGUUGCAUGGUGGGCGUUGGAACGUUUCGGCGGUCGGGGAUGGAUUCGCGGCUUAUCGGCUAGUUGGUUGGGUAGUGGCUUACCGAGGCUUAGACCGGUAGCCGGCCUGAGAGGGUGACCGGCGACAUGGGGCCUGAGGUACGGAGCAGUGUGCUAUGGGGGACAGCAGUGGGAAGUCUGACACAGUGAGCGCACGUGUGAGACAGAAGCGUCGGGUUCGGAAUGACGGCCUGCGGGUUGAGAACCGCUUUAGGCUGUGACCAAGCGGGAGUGACGGUAAUGGGUAAAGAAGCACCGGCUAACUACGUG